CGAACGGCAGCACAGGGAGCUUGCUCCCGGGUGGCGAGUGGCGCACGGGUGAGUAAUACAUCGGAACGUGUCCUGUUGUGGGGGAUAACUGCUCGAAAGGGUGGCUAAUACCGCAUGAGACCUGAGGGUGAAAGCGGGGGAUCGCAAGACCUCGCGCAAUUGGAGCGGCCGAUGCCCGAUUAGCUAGUUGGUGAGGUAAAGGCUCACCAAGGCGACGAUCGGUAGCUGGUCUGAGAGGACGACCAGCCACACUGGGACUGAGACACGGCCCAGACUCCUACGGGAGGCAGCAGUGGGGAAUUUUGGACAAUGGGGGCAACCCUGAUCCAGCCAUGCCGCGUGCAGGAUGAAGGCCUUCGGGUUGUAAACUGCUUUUGUCAGGGACGAAAAGGACCGUGUUAAUACCAUGGUCUGCUGACGGUACCUGAAGAAUAAGCACCGGCUAACUACGUGCCAGCAGCCGCGGUAAUACGUAGGGUGCAAGCGUUAAUCGGAAUUACUGGGCGUAAAGCGUGCGCAGGCGGUUCUGUAAGACAGAUGUGAAAUCCCCGGGCUCAACCUGGGAAUUGCAUUUGUGACUGCAGGACUAGAGUUCAUCAGAGGGGGGUGGAAUUCCAAGUGUAGCAGUGAAAUGCGUAGAUAUUUGGAAGAACACCAAUGGCGAAGGCAGCCCCCUGGGAUGCGACUGACGCUCAUGCACGAAAGCGUGAGGAGCAAACAGGAUUAGAUACCCUGGUAGUCCACGCCCUAGACGAUGUCUACUGGUUGUUGGGGUUUUUUAACCUUGGUAA
This 791-nucleotide ribosomal RNA is filed under the name uncultured bacterium. RNAcentral describes it as "bacterial SSU rRNA". It matches the Rfam family "Bacterial small subunit ribosomal RNA", at positions 63 to 846 of the family's 1533-position model. The record is from RNAcentral.